Molecule: microRNA, 22 nt
Filed under: Gallus gallus (chicken)
Lineage: Eukaryota; Metazoa; Chordata; Aves; Galliformes; Phasianidae
Also listed under: 1 other name
Description: gga-miR-1743
Source: miRBase by way of RNAcentral
UGGAAUGCAGCAAUUAUCACCU